This is a long non-coding RNA of Triticum aestivum (bread wheat), 4018 nucleotides long. RefSeq lists it as uncharacterized. The record is from RefSeq and is a predicted model, not a curated record. Lineage: Eukaryota; Viridiplantae; Streptophyta; Magnoliopsida; Poales; Poaceae. The transcript is spliced from 2 exons.
AUCUCAUCUGGACAUCCAGCCCCGCCCCGCCCCUCACAGCCGGCCGCCGCCGCCUCCUACCCCGCCGCCGCGCCUACCCCUACACCAAGUGCCAACACACCCGCGCCCAUCCACUACCGGGGACCCGCGGCCUUCUACCGCCGGCGGCACUCGACGUCGCGGCCAUUGGCGGCUCCCCGACCUUGCUACCAUGGCGCCUCCGGGACUCCUCCCCGCUGCUUCCACCUCGACAUUGGUUUCCCCAACCCCGCUGGCUUCGCCACCAGCCACUCCUUCUAGGCACACUCUAUCUGCCGUCGGACCCAUCCGCCUGGUUCCAAUGGUGAACAUCGCCACCACCCUAUUGUGAGGCGAGGUGAUGUUCUUCGAACUGCCGGCUUGAUUCUGCCUAGGUAAUUUCUUCUUUCUACUGUACCACUUCAUAGAAAAAUUUGACUGCCUAAAAAUUCCCCAAUUUGGUACACUUUUUUUUUUAUCAGAGUGAGCUUUUCAACGGAAAUUAUACUUUGAUCCUAUCCAAUCUUACUGUGACAGUAAUAUAUUCCCCUUUCCUUUAUAUGAAAGGAAAAUUGCGGCUCUUUAUCAUGUUGUCAUUAUAUUGUAACCGUGUGCAAGUGUGUUCAGUUCAACUAGAUGUAACUCAUUGACAUAUGAGAUUCCAUUGGGCCUGAUAAUCUUGAAUUUUGCUUCACAAUUUAAAAUGUAGUAUUAGACCUAGAGUUUUUAUGUAUUACAGAACCUGUCCUAUAAAUAUGCCAGUUACAAAUAAAGGUGAUAUUGAUGUGGAAACGCAACACACAUGUAGUAGAUGAAUUGUAUGAAGUAAAUCGCCUUGGAAUGAUGGUUGCUGAAUGUUACAAUUAUAGUCAUCUACCUGGACGACCUUCAAGCACCAAUAACUUAAUCCUUUUAGGUUUUGUUCUUCUUUCUUCGGUACAAACAUAAUAUUGUUUGGUGCUUCCCAAUACUUGGAUGUGAAAAAUAAAGAAGUUUUACAUUUUAAGAACUAAUAGAUUUUUAACAAGAAAAUAUGGUCCAAGUGGGACUACUACUUCUAAAUAUUUUGUCUUUCACAGAAGGGGAUAUCAUACUUCUCCUAAUCAGGAUUGUUGUGUAACGGAAUGAUGGUAGGAUGCUGAAUAAUAAUGGAAGAAAAAGGAGUACAGGCUUUACCUAAUGUACCUACAGCAACAAUGGGUUGCCCCACCAAACAUCACUAGAGGACUAGGAAGGAAAACGGUGAUUUCUCAAUCAGGUUCUAUUGGCCGUUCUAGCAUUAGCAUCAUGAAGAUUCUGGAACAGUGCACGACAUGCCCAAUCCCAAGGUCUUCCCUUAGCUGGUGAAGCACAUGAGCCGGUGUCAAGCAAUAUCCCCUGUAUACUUUGUCCUUGUGUUCUUUCCAGGUAUGCAUCCAUAUCAGCUGCAUCAGGGAGCUCCAUGCACAGUGGUACUACUUCCGAACGUGUAGAACAUGCAAUUGUAUGUAAAUCGCCUUGAAAUGAUGGUUGCUGAAUACUGCAUUAUGCUUGAUAGUCUACCUGGACGACUUCAAGCGCUAAUAGGUAAAUCCUUUUAGAUUUUGUAGUUUUUUUCAGUACAGAGAUAAUUCUGUUUCUUGCUUCCCAAUUUUUGGACGACAAAACAGAGAGGCUUUACAUUAUAAAAGUUACAGUAAUAGAUUAUAAAUAAGAAAAUAAGGUCCAAGCCAGACUCCAACUUAUAAAGGUUUUGUCUUUCACGUCAGGGGAUAUCAUACUUCAUCUAAUCAUGGUUGUCGUGUAACCUAAUGAUGGUUAGUUACUACACAUCCAUAGAGAAAUUGAACAUGGAGAUAUUCUCAUGUCCAUAGUUUCCAGCGAUGAGAAUGGGCUACCCGACAUUGCUCGGCUGCUGAAACUGAGCAAACUUUGUGUAGUUAUUCAUGGUAGAAAUUCCUACUUAAAUUAUCUAUUUCGCCAGAUUGAGAAACUGCAUACAUGCCUUCGUCAAUGCGCAAUCGAACAGCCGUCAGGUGGUGAUGAGAGGACUACUAAAAGCAAGGGAAACACACUAGGCCUCCUUUGGUUUGGAGGAAUUUUGUAGGAUUUUCAUAGGAUAGGAUUUCUAUAGGAAAAAUUCCUUCAGAGCUCUUUGGUUUGUACGAAUGAAAUCCUAUUCCUAUGGAGGAUUUCUUCCUAUCCUCCACAUUUCAUAGGAAAAUAAACAUUAGCCUAGACUCAAUGGAAAAAAUCCUAUGGUGUGAAUCAAAGGCCAUCUCCUUUUCUAUUCCUAUGCAUAGGAUUUGAGAUGCAUGUCAUCUCAUUUCCUAUGACUUUCCUAUUCCUAUGAUUUUCCAAUCCUAUGAACCAAAGGAGGCCUUAAGUUUGCUAUCCACAGUUUCUUCAUAAUCUAAAUACCAGUGGCAUCACAAGUGGGCUUCUCAAUUAAUCCAAAAGAUCCAUCAGGUUGCAAAGAUAAAAACAAUGAACAGAACAUAUCUGAAAGCGGCCCGAGCAUCCUCUACUACUUUUGUUUAGAUGUUAUUUAUCUUGCUCUGUGUUGACAUAUUUUCUUCUUCCGUAGAUGCAAAGCAUCCAGGAUGUGAUCAAUCAUAUGCUGGAGAAUGGCAUUGAGACCUUACUUCACUGGAUAAUGGCAUUUAUAUGCGAUUCCAGUCCUUUCAUAGUGCAGGUGAACUGGAAAUUCUAUCAAAGACAACUGUCCUUUCUUCAGUGUACAUGCAUGAUAUUACAUGAUUAAACAUACCAUUUUUAACUUCAUUUAGUUGUCUAUAUUAUGCUCUAUGUGCUAUUACCAACAAAAAUAGUGUUACCUCCGUACCAGGCCUUCCAAAUAUCUUAUAUUUUGGUACGGAGGUAGUACUUUUAGCCUGCAAAGCGACUUCUAUGCCCAUUGUGGCAAUAAUGUGUUUGCACCACUGAAGAGAUAACUUAUUUUUUUCAUUGUAAGAAACACAUCAUGUUUCUUCCCCAUCAUUUAAGUGUGUGCCAUGUUAUCUUUGUUCAUGUUGCUGGCUGUACAUUUUCAGUAUUCUCAGGAUAUAUCUGAUUAUGAUGAUGUUCCGUACUGCUCUGGAGCCGACAACUUUUUGGACUGCUCGAUGUUUAUAACCAAUGAGACUACUUUUUUGGUUGUUGGCUGGAGCUAUCACUAUGACUGAAAUUUUCUUUUCACCCAAGUAAAUUUAUAUGGUCAUCAAAAACCAACGACAGGUCAACACUUGUCAGCAGUUUGCAAUUUGUAUUACAGUAUGCCUAAGCCAAUGUUCAGACAAUGUUGUUUUAGUUAGGAAAUGUCGAAAACAUGGUCAUGAUUUAUGUAGAUUGGACAGUCCCUUCAAACUGCAGUCUUUGAUCUAGAGUGGACAAUCUAACUAUUUGUUUUCUUUUAGAAAAUGACUAUAUGUUCCAUGAAUUCACUGCUUAUUUUGGCCAGAUCAGAUUAAACUAGGUCUUGAUUUCAAGGUUCAGUUAAGGCAGUUGGUGCAGGUUUGUUUGCUGUAAUACUAACUGUGCUAUUUAGACAGAGACAUUUGCUCUUUCUCAUUCCUCGACAUUUUCCUUUGCUACCAAGAUUUUUCAUUCUAGGUUGUGGAAAACGCAUGUCGCGUUCCUUCUACAAGUCGUCAUGAGCUGGGACAUAGAAGAAGAGAGCCGACGAGAAGUCGCAAAGCGGUUCGCUCCGGUGUUGCUGCCAAUGGCGCUGCACAAAGUGCAGAUUGCAGGCUAGAUGCGUACAAGUCCGUCCCUACUUCCACGACGUGGAAGCAAAGGAAAUUUAGUCAAUUAGAUAGUAUAUUUGGUUAUGAAAGUUAUCUUUUGAGUAUGCAGUUUUGCCAUCAUUUUGUAAAAGCUUUGAGUUUUUUAUAAUGUAAUUGUCUUACUAAUCACACUUUUAAUUGAUUUGUGCCAAGGCUAAUAGCCAAGUUAUGCACAAACUGUUCAUGUUUCCUUGAUGACUGCUAUUGUCAGAAGAUUCUUUUCAGCAUUUAAGUAAUACCGAUCCCACUUUCAGUUA